This 414-nucleotide long non-coding RNA is filed under the name Brassica napus (rape). RNAcentral's name for it is "long non-coding RNA (BNAP_LNC023244)". Lineage: Eukaryota; Viridiplantae; Streptophyta; Magnoliopsida; Brassicales; Brassicaceae. The record is from RNAcentral.
CUUCCAGCAUACGAGACAUUGGCUCUCCCAUCUUUUUCUCUUGAGAACUUGGCCGGCUUCAGAUGAGGAUGCAAGAUCCAGCACUGGUUCUUCUUGUGACCUUGUCUCUUGCAAUGAUCACAAUUUCCCGUGAACUUCUUUGCAUCAUACUGGUUAGAGCUUGCACGGUUUGCUUGCGGAACCUCAGCUUGGUUUGCAAGUGUGAUCUCUCCUUUUCCUCCAAAGAGACCAAUAGAACCUUCCUCCUUCUGAACUUGUGCACACACGUCCUCAAGAUCAGGUGACUUCCCGGACCUCAGGAUGUGUUUGAUGAGGCUGUUGUAGCUUGGAUUCAAUGUGAGUAGCAACCCAAACACCUUGUCUUGCUCACGUCUCUCAGCCAGCUCAUCUAGGUUGGUUGUGCCUGGCCUCAGC